This 162-nucleotide non-coding RNA is filed under the name Magnetococcales bacterium. Its description in RNAcentral is "6S RNA". It matches the Rfam family "6S / SsrS RNA". From Rfam's summary of the family: E. coli 6S RNA was the first non coding RNA to be sequenced, but its function was unknown until recently. It consists of 184 nucleotides that fold into an extended hairpin structure with a large single-stranded internal bulge. The record is from RNAcentral. Lineage: Bacteria; Pseudomonadati; Pseudomonadota; Magnetococcia; Magnetococcales.
AUUGUUCUGCGGCGUUUGUGAGGAUCUGAUCCACCUGAGCCGUUCUUUGUUGCUCUGGAACCACGCUCUGGCCGUCAAGGUUCGCCUGGUGCGGCCAAUCGGGGAUCCCCUUUACAAUCGGGGUUCAGGCCAAGGAGGUUCCACGGCGUCCGCGGGACAUUU